This 509-nucleotide ribosomal RNA is filed under the name uncultured Lactobacillus sp. RNAcentral's name for it is "bacterial SSU rRNA". It matches the Rfam family "Bacterial small subunit ribosomal RNA", at positions 59 to 524 of the family's 1533-position model. Lineage: Bacteria; Bacillati; Bacillota; Bacilli; Lactobacillales; Lactobacillaceae. The record is from RNAcentral.
AAGUCGAGCGAGUCUGCCUUGAAGAUCGGAGUGCUUGCACUCUGUGAAACAAGAUACAGGCUAGCGGCGGACGGGUGAGUAACACGUGGGUAAACCUGCCCCAAGAGAUCGGGGAUAACACCUGGAAACAGAUGCUAAUACCGGAUAAUAACAGAUGAUGCCUAUCAACUGUUUAAAAAGAUGGUUCUGCUAUCACUCUUGGAUGGACCUGCGGUGCAUUAGUUAGUUGGUAGGGUAACGGCCUACCAAGGCGAUGAUGCAUAGCCGAGUUGAGAGACUGAUCGGCCACAUUGGGACUGAGACACGGCCCAAACUCCUACGGGAGGCAGCAGUAGGGAAAUCUUCCACAAUGGACGCAAGUCUGAUGGAGCAACGCCGCGUGAGUGAAGAAGGGUUUCGGCUCGUAAAGCUCUGUUGUUGGUGAAGAAGGACAGGGGUAGUAACUGACCUUUGUUUGACGGUAAUCAAUUAGAAAGUCACGGCUAACUACGUGCCAGCACCGCGGUAAU